Non-coding RNA from Triticum aestivum (bread wheat), 135 nucleotides. The record is from Rfam. NCBI's taxonomy places the organism in Eukaryota, Viridiplantae, Streptophyta, Magnoliopsida, Poales, Poaceae.
CAACUACUCCCUCUGUCCCAAAAUUCUUGUCUUAGAUUUGUCUAGAUACGGAUGUAUCUAAUACUAAAAUGUGACUUGAUACAUCCGUAUCUUGACAAAUCUAAGACAAGAAUUUUGGGACAGAGGGAGUACUUU